Symphalangus syndactylus (siamang) is the source of this 7369-nucleotide long non-coding RNA. RefSeq lists it as uncharacterized. NCBI's taxonomy places the organism in Eukaryota, Metazoa, Chordata, Mammalia, Primates, Hylobatidae. The record is from RefSeq and is a predicted model, not a curated record.
UCAAGCGAUUCUCCUGCCUCAGCCUCCCAAGUAGCUGGGAUUACAGGCGCCCGCCACUAUGCCCGGCUAAUUUUUGUAUUUUUAGUAGAGAUGGGGUUUCACCAUGUUGGUCAGGCUGGGCUCGAACUCCCGAUCUCAGGUGAUCUGCCUGCCUUGGCCUCCCAAAGUGCUGGGAUUACAAGUGUGAGCCACCAAGCCCAGCCCACAUAUAGAAUUUUUUAAAAACAAAUCCUGUUGGACCUCAGGUUCACAGAAUUGCAUUAUGAUAGACUCUCAUCAUUAGUCCAUACAUGGCUUGCUUUAUUUAUUUACUUACCUAGCCAGUGUCAGAUUUAAAAUCCUCAAUACUUGGUGUCAUAUCUCUGGCUCUGUCCUGUACUAGGUGUGUGACCUUAGUCAAGUUUUCUAACUCUGUGUAUUGAUUUCUUCAACAGUAAAAUGAGGAUUAUUACCUCGUAGAGCUGUGUGAGAAUUAAAUGAGUUAAUAUAUGCAUACUAGUUAAUGCGGUGCCUGGUAUCUGGUAAACUGUGUACAUGUUGGCUUUUAUAUUAUCUCCGAGUUUCCAUGUAUGAUCCUUUGCCUUAUACCCAAAAUAAAUUCUUUAGAAUUUCCUUUAAUGUGGGUCUACUAGUGACAAAAACUCUUCAUUUUUGUCUUAAAUUGUCUUUAUUUCACUUCCAUUCUUUUAAAUUAAUUUUUUCUAGUUUUGCAUUUUUUAAUUACUAUUGAGGAUGAAUAUUUUUCUGGGUGUUGCUCAGCUGUUUAUGGUUCUUUUUUAAAAAAUGAGUUCACCCAGCCUGGGCAACAUAGGGAGACCUCAUCUCUAAAAAAAUUUUAAAAUUUAGCUGAGUGCGGUGGUGCAUGCCUGUGGCUCCAGCUACUUGGGAGGCUGAGGUGGGAAGAUCGUUUGGGCUCAGGAGGUCGAGGCUGUAGUGAGCUAAGAUCACACCACUGGACUCCAGGCUAGGCGACAGAGUAAGACCCUGUCUCAAAAAAAAGAGUUCACUUUUCCCUAACUUCUUUUGUUUUUGUGGUAAAAUAGAUAUAUAAAACAUAAAAUUUGUCAUUUUAAUCACUUUUAAGUGUACAAUUGAGUGACAUUAAUUACAUUCACUGUGUUGUGCAACCAUCACCACUACCUAUUCCCAAACAUUUUCACCACCCCAACAGAAAUUUGGUACCCAUUAAGCAAUAAUUCCCCAUUUCCCGUUCAUCCCAUCCCUGGUAAUCUCUAAUCUGCUUUCUGUCUCUUUGAAUUUGCCUCUUUUAGACAUUUCAUACAAAUAGAAUCAUACAAUGUCUUUUGUGUUUGGCUUAUUUCGCUUGGCGUAAUGUUUUCGUUUUGAUUAGACAGUAAGUUACAGGAUUCAAACAACUAUAUCAAACUUACUCUGAGAAGUCCUAUUCCCACCCCACCCACAUUACCCCUUUAUACUUCAUUUCCUAUAGAUAAAUCAUUUUUUCGUUUUUAUCAUGGUAGUGUUUGUUGUUGUUGUUGUUUGUUUGUUUUUGAGACAGAGUCUUGCUCUGUUGCCCAGGCCAGAGCACAGUGGUGUGAACUUGGCUCACUGCAACCUCUGCCUCCUGGGUUCAAGCGAUUCUCCUGCCUCAGCCUCCUAAGUAGCUGGGAUUACAGGCCCAUACCACCACGCUCAGAUAAUUUUUUGUAUUUUUAGUAGAGAUGGGGUCUUGUUAUGUUGGCCAGGCUGGUCUCGAACUGCUGGCCUCAAGAGAUUCCCCGCCUCUGUCAUCCAAAGUGCUGGGGUUGCAGGUGUGAGCCACUGUGCCUGGCUAUCAUGAUAGCGUUUUUAUGCACAAAUAUGCAAAUAUGAAUAUAUGUUCUAUGUCUCCUUUUGUAACAGAAAAUGUAGCUAUUUUAGCCUGAGUCCUCCCAAAAGCAGAGUAGAAGACAAGGGGCUAGACCAGGUGCAGUGGCUCUCACCUAUAAUCCUAGCACUUUGGGAGGCUGAGGCGGAUGGAUUGCUUGAGCCCAGGAGUUCAAGACCAGCCUGAGCAAGAUGGCAAAACUCCAUCUCUAUAAAAUAGAAAAACAAUUAGCCUAUAGUCCUAGCUACUUGGGAGGCUGAGAUAGGAAGAUUGUUUCAGCCUGGGGAGAUUGAGGCUACAGUGUGUCAUGAUUGUGCUACUGCACACCAGCCUGGGCAACAGAGUGAGACCCUGUUUCGAAAAAGAAAAAAUAUGUCAAAGGGCUUUUAUACCACUAAUAUAUUAGGAAGUGCAAUCCUAGGAAACAAAUGAGGGGCCAGGAGAGUGAAGCCAGAAAGGAGGAAGAGCCAAUUUGAGGGUGCAUUAUUGAAUUGGCUGUUAUUAAUUGCAACUGAUUUCUUAAAUCCAGUUCUCCAAGAAGUCAUAUAUAUUGUAUCUGAGGGGAGCUAGUUGGAGGAGUGGUGAUGGGGGAAAAUUUUUUUAUCCUCACCUCCCUCUGGUCAAAGUUUCAGCACACAGACGUGAACUACCUCACACUUCUGAAUUGUGUCUAUGUGGGUGCUGAGCAAGGUUCCAUGGCAUCCUGUUAAAUUGGUUUCAACAGGAAAGCCUUUGGGUGACAGCCAAAUGACAUGUGACAUAGUUAUGAGGGAAAAAGUACUGUUAAGAUUGCACCUAUGUGAAGUCUGUGCCCACACGGAGCUGGCUUCCAGUAGCCAUGUCUGGAACACAAGAUAGGCAAGGCUGAGGCCAUCUGAAAUGGAGCAUAAGAAGUAUCUGAUAUAGCCCAUCCACUGUACCACUAUGGGCCUGCUCAGAUUCUCCGUUAUAUCCAGCUUCCAUGCUAUUAUUCAAUAUGGGGCCUCCACUUGUGUGUGUGCACGUGUGUGUGCAUACGUAUGUGUGUGAAAGACAGAGAGACAGAGAGAGAGAGAAAAAGAGAGAAAGAGAAAGAGAGAGAGAGAGAGUAUGCCCUCACUUCUUAUCUGACAGCAGAGGAGUAAGUCCAGUCCACAAAAGAUUUUCCUUUAAGGUAUAACCAAGUACGAUUUCUGAAGAGACUUAAGAGUUAGUGAAACAAGCUACGGUUCCUUUUGGACCUGCUUGGAGAUGAGACAUUUACCUCUGAGGAGUUUAAGAGCUUAAUGCCUUGUCUGUGUCAUGGUUGCUGCAGUUGCUCAUUUACCAUUGACACUGGCAGUGGAGACACCAAGAGAUACCCUAGUGAAUCUCCUGAAUUCCAGACAUAUGAUUUACUGAACGAAUUAUGUUGGAGCAACCCAAGCUUCUCAUGGUAAUCAAAGUCACUUACCACCAUAAUCACAUUAGCUCUUUUUUGGCUUGUUUGUCCACUGGUAUGAACAGCUCAACGUGACCAGGCAGUAACCAGGUUCAAAUUCAACUGAAAUGCAGCAGAGCCUAGAGAUUCCAUGGAUGGGAAGCAAAAAUGCAAUCAGAUCACUGGAAGCGUCGGUGGGAGGAGUUAAUCCUAUUUCACCACUUGGUUCAUGGACUCAUGUAUUCUAGCUACUUGGGAUGGAAUUGUUGGUUCAGCUCCUAUUCUACAUUUUAGAGGACAGCAUCCGAAUCUUUUAGGGUGAUCUCCAAAGCUAGUGCCUUAGUAAAUAUUUUUAAUAGACACUGCCUUGAUUUAUUGGCUCAUUGUUUGAUGGUGGUGGGAGGUAAAGACAUACAUUGUAAAAUUUGUGAAUCUCUUGGUCAUGUAUCCAAUGUCCUAUAUCUAUAUAUUUAAUUGGCCACAAAUGGAUCCCUCAGUCUAAGGCAGGGUUUAUAGGAUACCUUGUUGAUACAUCAUUCUGUAAGCCUUUGAAUAAUAUUGCUGUCAGAAGAAUUGUGAAGAGAGGAAAAAAAAACACUGCUUUCUAGAGUAGAUGUCAAUACUAGUAAGGAUGAAUUACUGCCCUAUCCAGAGUGAGGGGAGUCUGAUAAAAUCAACUUGCCAUUAAGUGGCAGGCUGGUUUCCUCAAGGAAUGAUACUGAAGGCUCAGCAUUCUUCUGCUGGCAUUCAGAAGGGGUAAUAUUCUGCAAAGGAAAAGCUCAAAUAAUUAAGAUAAAAAGAAAUGAAAAAAAAAAAACCAACAACACCAGAAGGGGUAAUAGAUCAGCCACAGUGAGAGGGAGCCCCUGCUGCUAUCCCCAUACAAAAUCUCUACCCCCAUGGCCUCCCUGCUUACGAACUUAUUGCCCCAGUAGUGGGAUGGCUGAGGAAAGAGGCUGACUGAUAUCUACAGAAUAAGUCAUCCAAUUCACCUGGUUGUUGAAGACUUCUCCUAUGGUAGAAUUAUCUUGUGAGCAUUAAUGUGAGAUACAAAGAUUUUUUAUGCUGUUUUUUGGCCCAAUUCCUAAUCCUUCCAUAUACAUUUUCCACAGUUUUCUUGUCUCUAAUAUAAUAAUUGUGUAUCCUCCAGAUGCUAGACCAGCCAGCCAAUCCCUUUGCCACUGCUCGGCUAUCUACAUAUAGCCACACGUCAGACCACUUCUCUUUUCAUGAAAAAUGAAUGGCCAAGUACACUUCUUACAGCUCUGCUUACACAGAAGGUUUUCCUUUACCACUGUCCUUUAGGGUUCCCCUUAAGUAACUUAGCAGUUAAGCAUUUUUGGCUUGCACCAACAUAUGUACCAAGCACCUGUAAACUGGGACCAAUAUCUUUUCUCCUCUGUCAGUUGGUCAUAGGGAAUUUUCCAAUGAAAAUAUAGGUAUGAAUUGUGAAUUGCUUUGGUACAGUAGAGAUUGGUGAAACAGGAGUCUAGGUCAUGUGUUUAUGAAAUUCCUUCUGGACUUGCUUGGAGCUAAUCCUGAAUUUACUAUUUCUCUUAUACAAAGGGUUUCUCUUAUACCUAUCUAACCUUAUAAUUUAGUAAAUCUGAUGAUACCAAGUUCUUGUUGGCAGCUCUGGUGGCAUAAUCAUUUGGUGUCUGAUAUAGUUUGGACAUUUGUCCCCACCAAAAUCUCUUCUUGAAUUGUAAUUCCCAAUGUUGGAGAUGGGGCCUGGUGGGAGGUGUUUGGAUCAUGAGGGUGGAUCCUUCAUGGCUUAGUGCUGUCCUCGCAGUAGUGAGUUCCUCCGAGAUCUGGUUUAAAGUGUAUGGCACCUCCUUCACUCUCUGUUUCUCCUGCUCUUGCUAUGUGAUAUGCAAGACCUGUCUUUACCUUCUGCAGUUGAGUAAAAGCUCCCUGAGGGCUCCCCAGAAACCAAGCAGAUCCUGGCACCGUGAUUGUAUAGCCUGUAGAAUCAUGAGCCAAUUAAACCUCUUUUCUUUAUAAAUUACCCAGUCUCAGGUAUUUCUUUUAUUUCUACUUCCAGCAGUGCAAGAACAACCUAACACAGUGUCCCAUUGUCAUCUACUCAGUCUCUAAUAGGGCUAAGGAGCAUGAUAGUAUCUAUUUAUAAGCACUGAGAAAUUUCCUACUGUAGAAGGCAUGGAUCUAAACCAUUUAGAUUUACUGUCUGUACCAUUGAAAGAUUUGCACUUUAGCUUUCCUACUGUGCCAUGCCAGAAACUCCAUACAGCAUUGUUAUCCAUCAUGGGCAUUACUAGCAACAUCAGAGUGGCUGGAUUGUGUCAGAUGGCUGGUAUCACAGCCUGGACCUCUUACUCCAGAGUAUUCUCAAACCUGAUAGCAUUUUGAGUUCCAGAUGUGGUAUACAUUACCUCUAAAAUCCAAAGAGACUGUGCCUCUUUCUUAAUGGUAAGAAAUGCAAAUGAUAAUGACUUUUAUUUUAUCUCAGAGGGCAUUUCUUUGCAUGCCCAAGAACCCUAGAAUCAUUACUGAUAUGACAGUCUUCUGAAUAUUCAUAGGGUUAAUCUUUUACUCUUUGACAUGCUAGACCAUCUAGGGUCCUUGCUACUUACUACUCACUAGGUCCAAUUAGAAUCAUGUCAUCUAUGCAGUGAUCUAGCAUUAUGUUCUAUAAAAUGUUCAAUGUUGAAAUAUUUGUGGAGUACAUUAUGAAAGAAAGCAAGUUCACGCCUGUAAUCCCAGUACUUUGGGAGGCCGAGGCGGGCGGAUCACGAGGUCAGGAGAUCAAGACCAUCCUGGCUAACAUGGUGAAACCCCGUCUCCACUAAAAAUACAAAAAAUUAGCCGGGCGUGGUGGUGGGGGCCUGUAGUCCCAGCUACUCACGGUGAAACCCCGUCUCUACUAAAAAUACAAAAAAUUAGCCGGGCGUGGUGGUGGGGGCCUGUAGUCCCAGCUACUCGGGAGGCUGAGGCAGGAGAAUGGCAUGAACCCGGGAGGGCGGAGCUUGCAGUGAGCCGAGAUCGCGCCACUGCACUCCAGCCUGGGCGACAGAGCGAGACUCCGUCUCAAAAAAAAAAAAAAAAAAAGAAAGAAAGCAAGAGAGUUAACAUAGCUUUGUAAUAAGACAUUUGAAUGUAUUCUGUUUUCUUGUUAUGAGGAGAUGAACUGCUUUUGAUUUUAUUCCCUGGUGGAAUUAAAGACAAGUGCAUUUGCCGGAAAAAUAGCCACCUACCAAGUUGCCAAAGUUAUAUUGAUCUACUCCAAUGAAGAUACCACAUCUGGCAUGACAGCUGCAAUUGGAGCUACCAUUUGGUUAAGUUGGGCACGAUGGCUCACGUCUGUAAUCCCAGCACUUUGGGAGGCUGAGGCAGGCGGAUCACCUGAGGUCGAGAGUUCAAGAUCAGCCAGACCAACAUGGAGAAACCCCGUCUCUACUAAAAAUACAAAAUUAGCCAGGCAUGGUGGCACAUGCCUGUAAUCCCAGCUACUCGGGAGGCUGGAGAAUCGCUUGAACCCAGGAGGUGGAGGUUGGGGUGAGCAGAGAUCGUGCCAUUGCACUCAAGCCUGGGCAACAAGAGCGAAACUCUGUCUCAAAAAAAAAAAUUAUAUUUGGAAGAAUGACUACAUAUGAAUGUUUUUGCCCGAUAAACUAAAUAUAUUCAUUUAAAGACAAAUCUCUAAGCAUUAAAGCUAAGAUACUAUUGCAAGUUAAACUUGUUUUAACUAACAAAUUUGUUUUGCAGUAAUUUCAUGGAGGUGGUGCUGGCAGAAGCACUGAGGGCAGGAAGGCAUAUCCAUAUCUAGAAAACGUGUCUAUGCCGGUAAGGUCAAAUCUCUGUCUUGUCCAUAAGUUCAGUGGCUGGCUAUCUCAUGAGGGUCUAGACUUUGGCAUUUUUCUUUGAUGAUAACAGAUUGGCAUGCAGCAGUGGUGAUAACCACAUCAGCCUUGAUAAAGAGAUGAUCAUUUUGUUGAACCUAUGCAUAAUGCCAUGGCCACUUUGCUGAUGGCCCAUUGAACAAAUACUGUUGUGGCUUUGGAAAGGGUUAUCUGAUAUUUUAUGGAUUAAAUGAGUUAAUUUUUUUCAAGUACUAAGAACUAUGCCUGGCACAUAGUAAGCACUAUGUAAGUGUUUUGCUAAAUAAAAAUCCAUGUAGUGAA